GUUGGGUAGGGGAGCGUUCUGUAAGCCUGCGAAGGUGUACUGUGAGGUAUGCUGGAGGUAUCAGAAGUGCGAAUGCUGACAUAAGUAACGAUAAUGCGGGUGAAAAACCCGCACGCCGGAAGACCAAGGGUUCCUGUCCAACGUUAAUCGGGGCAGGGUGAGUCGACCCCUAAGGCGAGGCUGAAAAGCGUAGUCGAUGGGAAACGGGUUAAUAUUCCCGUACUGGUGGUAACUGCGAUGGGGGAACGGAGAAGGCUAGGUUGUCCGGGCGACGGUCGUCCCGGUUCAAGCAGGUAGGCAGAGUGAUUAGGCAAAUCCGGUCACUUAAUGCUGAGAUGUGAUGACGAACCACCAAGGUGGUGAAGCAAUUGAUGCCCCGCUUCCAGGAAAAGCCUCUAAGCUUCAGGUUACCAACAAUCGUACCCCAAACCGACACAGGUGGUCAGGUAGAGAAUACUCAGGCGCUUGAGAGAACUCGGGUGAAGGAACUAGGCAAAAUGGUGCCGUAACUUCGGGAGAAGGCACGCUGGCGGUAGGUAAAGUCCCUUGCGGACGGCGCUGAAGCCAGUCGAAGAUACCAGCUGGCUGCAACUGUUUAUUAAAAACACAGCACUGUGCAAACACGAAAGUGGACGUAUACGGUGUGACGCCUGCCCGGUGCUGGAAGGUUAAUUGAUGGGGUUAGCGCAAGCGAAGCUCCUGAUCGAAGCCCCAGUAAACGGCGGCCGUAACUAUAACGGUCCUAAGGUAGCGAAAUUCCUUGUCGGGUAAGUUCCGACCUGCACGAAUGGCGUAAUGAUGGCCAGGCUGUCUCCACCCGAGACUCAGUGAAAUUGAACUCGCUGUGAAGAUGCAGUGUACCCGCGGCAAGACGGAAAGACCCCGUGAACCUUUACUAUAGCUUGACACUGAACAUUGAGCCUUGAUGUGUAGGAUAGGUGGGAGGCUUUGAAGUGUGGACGCCAGUCUGCAUGGAGCCAACCUUGAAAUACCACCCUUUAACGUUUGAUGUUCUAACCUAGGCCCAUAAACUGGGUCGGGGACCGUGUCUGGUGGGUAGUUUGACUGGGGCGGUCUCCUCCUAAAGAGUAACGGAGGAGCACGAAGGUUGGCUAAGCAUGGUCGGACAUCAUGCGGUUAGUGCAAAGGCAUAAGCCAGCUUGACUGCGAGAGUGACGGCUCGAGCAGGUACGAAAGUAGGUCUUAGUGAUCCGGUGGUUCUGAAUGGAAGGGCCAUCGCUCAACGGAUAAAAGGUACUCCGGGGAUAACAGGCUGAUACCGCCCAAGAGUUCAUAUCGACGGCGGUGUUUGGCACCUCGAUGUCGGCUCAUCACAUCCUGGGGCUGAAGUAGGUCCCAAGGGUAUGGCUGUUCGCCAUUUAAAGUGGUACGCGAGCUGGGUUUAGAACGUCGUGAGACAGUUCGGUCCCUAUCUGCCGUGGGCGUUGGAAGAUUGAGAGGGGUUGCUCCUAGUACGAGAGGACCGGAGUGAACGCACCACUGGUGUUCGGGUUGUCAUGCCAAUGGCAUUGCCCGGUAGCUAAGUGCGGAAGAGAUAACCGCUGAAAGCAUCUAAGCGGGAAACUUGCCUCGAGAUGAGUCUUCCCUGUCGCUUUAAGCGACCUAAAGGAACGUUUAAGACUAAGACGUUGAUAGGCUGGGUGUGUAAGCGUAGCGAUACGUUGAGCUAACCAGUACUAAUGAACCGUGAGGCUUAACCUG
This 1722-nucleotide ribosomal RNA is filed under the name Proteus mirabilis. RNAcentral describes it as "partial 23S ribosomal RNA". It matches the Rfam family "Bacterial large subunit ribosomal RNA", at positions 1223 to 2925 of the family's 2925-position model. The record is from RNAcentral. Lineage: Bacteria; Pseudomonadati; Pseudomonadota; Gammaproteobacteria; Enterobacterales; Morganellaceae.